RNAcentral lists this ribosomal RNA (368 nucleotides) under uncultured bacterium. Its description in RNAcentral is "bacterial SSU rRNA". It matches the Rfam family "Bacterial small subunit ribosomal RNA", at positions 87 to 484 of the family's 1533-position model. The record is from RNAcentral.
ACAGUCAGUCGGCAGACGGGUGAGUAACGCGUGGGAACGUACCUUUUGGUUCGGAACAACCCAGGGAGACUUGGGCUAAUACGCGGAUAAGCCCUUACGGGGAGAGAUUGAUCGCCGAAAGAUCGUGCCCUGCGUCUGCUUAGCUAAUUGGUGAGGUAAUGGCUCAUCAAGGCGACGAUCAGUAGCUGGUCUGAGAGGAUGAGUCAGCCAGCGUGGGACUGAGACACGGACCAAACUCAUACGGGAGGCAGCAGUGGGGAAUAUUGGACAAUGGGGGCAACCCUGAUCCAGCCAUGCCGCGUGAGUGAUGAAGGCCCUAGGGCUUGUAAAAGCUCUUUUGUGCGGGAAGAUAAUGACGGUACCGCAAG